This 497-nucleotide ribosomal RNA is filed under the name uncultured bacterium. RNAcentral describes it as "partial 16S ribosomal RNA". It matches the Rfam family "Bacterial small subunit ribosomal RNA", at positions 28 to 507 of the family's 1533-position model. The record is from RNAcentral.
GAUGAACGCUGGCGGCGUGCCUAAUACAUGCAAGUCGAGCGAACAGACGAGGAGCUUGCUCCUCUGACGUUAGCGGCGGACGGGUGAGUAACACGUGGAUAACCUACCUAUAAGACUGGGAUAACUUCGGGAAACCGGAGCUAAUACCGGAUAAUCUAUUGAACCGCAUGGUUCAAUAGUGAAAGACGGUUUUGCUGUCACUUAUAGCUGGAUCCGCGCCGCAUUAGCUAGUUGGUAAGGUAACGGCUUACCAAGGCAACGAUGCGUAGCCGACCUGAGAGGGUGAUCGGCGACACUGGAACUGAGACACGGUCCAGACUCCUACGGGAGGCAGCAGUAGGGAAUCUUCCGCAGUAGGCGAGAGCCUGACGGAGCAACGCCGCGUGAGUGAUGAAGGUCUUCGGAUCGUAAAACUCUGUUAUUAGGGAAGAACAACUGUGUAAGUAACUAUGCACGUCUUGACGGUACCUAAUCAGAAAGCCACGGCUAACUACGUG